RNAcentral lists this ribosomal RNA (1120 nucleotides) under uncultured Actinomycetes bacterium. RNAcentral's name for it is "bacterial SSU rRNA". It matches the Rfam family "Bacterial small subunit ribosomal RNA", at positions 28 to 1147 of the family's 1533-position model. The record is from RNAcentral. Lineage: Bacteria; Bacillati; Actinomycetota; Actinomycetes.
GACGAACGCUGGCGGCGUGCUUAACACAUGCAAGUCGAACGGAUCAGGGAAGCUUGCUUUUCUGGUUAGUGGCGAACGGGUGAGUAACACGUGAGUAACCUGCCCUUCACUCUGGGAUAACUCCGGGAAACCGGGGCUAAUACUGGAUACGACUCGAACAGGCAUCUGUAUCGGGUGGAAAGAUUUAUUGGUGGAGGAUGGACUCGCGGCCUAUCAGCUUGUUGGUGAGGUAAUGGCUCACCAAGGCGACGACGGGUAGCCGGCCUGAGAGGGCGAUCGGCCACACUGGGACUGAGGCACGGCCCAGACUCCUACGGGAGGCAGCAGUGGGGAAUAUUGCACAAUGGGCGAAAGCCUGAUGCAGCGACGCCGCGUGAGGGAUGAAGGCCUUCGGGUUGUAAACCUCUUUCAGCAGGGAAGAAGCGGUCGGGUUUUCCUGGUCGUGACGGUACCUGCAGAAUAAGCACCGGCUAACUACGUGCCAGCAGCCGCGGUAAUACGUAGGGUGCAAGCGUUGUCCGGAAUUAUUGGGCGUAAAGAGCUUGUAGGCGGUUUGUCGCGUCUGCUGUGAAAUUUCGGGGCUCAACCCCGAACUUGCAGUGGGUACGGGCAGACUAGAGUGUGGUAGGGGAGACUGGAAUUCCUGGUGUAGCGGUGAAAUGCGCAGAUAUCAGGAGGAACACCGAUGGCGAAGGCAGGUCUCUGGGCCACUACUGACGCUGAGAAGCGAAAGCAUGGGGAGCGAACAGGAUUAGAUACCCUGGUAGUCCAUGCCGUAAACGUUGGGAACUAGGUGUGGGCCUCAUUCCACGAGGUCCGUGCCGCAGCUAACGCAUUAAGUUCCCCGCCUGGGGAGUACGGCCGCAAGGCUAAAACUCAAAGGAAUUGACGGGGGCCCGCACAAGCGGCGGAGCAUGCGGAUUAAUUCGAUGCAACGCGAAGAACCUUACCAAGGCUUGACAUGUGCCGGAAAAGUGCAGAGAUGUGCUCCCCGCAAGGUCGGUACACAGGUGGUGCAUGGUUGUCGUCAGCUCGUGUCGUGAGAUGUUGGGUUAAGUCCCGCAACGAGCGCAACCCUCGUUCUAUGUUGCCAGCACGUGAUGGUGGGGACUCAUAGGAG